ACGAACGCUGGCGGCGUGCUUAACACAUGCAAGUCGAACGGAAAGGCCCUGCUUUUGUGGGGUGCUCGAGUGGCGAACGGGUGAGUAACACGUGAGUAACCUGCCCUUGACUUUGGGAUAACUUCAGGAAACUGGGGCUAAUACCGGAUAGGAGCUCCUGCUGCAUGGUGGGGGUUGGAAAGUUUCGGCGGUUGGGGAUGGACUCGCGGCUUAUCAGCUUGUUGGUGGGGUAGUGGCUUACCAAGGCUUUGACGGGUAGCCGGCCUGAGAUGGUGACCGGCCACAUUGGGACUGAGAUACGGCCCAGACUCCUACGGGAGGCAGCAGUGGGGAAUAUUGCACAAUGGGCGGAAGCCUGAUGCAGCAACGCCGCGUGCGGGAUGACGGCCUUCGGGCUGUAAACCGCUUUCGCCUGUGACGAAGCGUGAGUGACGGUAAUGGGUAAAGAAGCACCGGCUAACUACGUG
This 467-nucleotide ribosomal RNA is filed under the name uncultured bacterium. RNAcentral describes it as "partial 16S ribosomal RNA". It matches the Rfam family "Bacterial small subunit ribosomal RNA", at positions 29 to 507 of the family's 1533-position model. The record is from RNAcentral.